AGGUUACUGCUAUCGGUGUUCGCCUAAGCCAUGCGAGUCAUAUGUAGCAAUACAUGGCGUACUGCUCAGUAACACGUGGAUAACCUGCCCUUGGGUCCGGCAUAACCCCGGGAAACUGGGGAUAAUUCCGGAUAACGCAUAUAUGCUGGAAUGCUUUCUGCGUAAAAUGGAUUCGUCUGCCCAAGGAUGGGUCUGCGGCCUAUCAGGUAGUAGUGGGUGUAAUGUACCUACUAGCCUACGACGGGUACGGGUUGUGAGAGCAAGAGCCCGGAGAUGGAUUCUGAGACAUGAAUCCAGGCCCUACGGGGCGCAGCAGGCGCGAAAACUUUACAAUGCGGGAAACCGUGAUAAGGGGACACCGAGUGCCAGCAUCCUAUGCUGGCUGUCCGGGUGUGUAAAAUACACCUGUCAGCAAGGGCCGGGCAAGACCGGUGCCAGCCGCCGCGGUAACACCGGCGGCCCGAGUGGUGAUCGUGAUUAUUGGGUCUAAAGGGUCCGUAGCCGGUUUGGUCAGUCCUCCGGGAAAUCUGACAGCUCAACUGUUAGGCUUUCGGAGGAUACUGCCAGACUUGGAACCGGGAGAGGUAAGAGGUACUACAGGGGUAGGAGUGAAAUCUUGUAAUCCCUGUGGGACCACCUGUGGCGAAAGCGUCUUACCAGAACGGGUUCGACGGUGAGGGACGAAAGCUGGGGGCACGAACCGGAUUAGAUACCCGGGUAGUCCCAGCCGUAAACGAUGCUCGCUAGGUGUCACGCAUGGCGCGACCGUGUCUGGUGCCGCAGGAAGCCGUGAAGCGAGCCACCUGGGAAGUACGGCCGCAAGCUGAAACUUAA
RNAcentral lists this ribosomal RNA (834 nucleotides) under uncultured soil archaeon. RNAcentral describes it as "bacterial SSU rRNA". It matches the Rfam family "Archaeal small subunit ribosomal RNA", at positions 21 to 859 of the family's 1478-position model. The record is from RNAcentral.